GAAACAAUCUGUUCUCCUUAAUCAAUAAGGCCGAGAGAGUUGAGAAGAAAAGUUGUCUCCCUUUCUUGCUUUCUUCCUAAAGCAGACUCGAGUGAGUGAGACAGAGUGUGAGGGAAAAGAAAGUGUAAGCUUCACCAUCAGCUAACUAUACGAACGAAAACAGAAGGGAGGUCGAGUGAGGAGUUGUGAUAGCAAACUUGAGCAGUCUGCAUUAUCGAUUUGUAAGGGAAAAGAGGUAAGAAUCUACCAUAACCUUCUGCUUAUUUGGCACAAAUAAGUAUAUAUACAAGCUGCAUGUUAGUUUUAGCAAGGCAUAAUGAGUUUUAACCGAGGAGAAAUCUGAUAAAGGAGAAAAAGAUGAGAACUGGACAGAAAUGGAGGGAACCGAGAGUUGUUGUUGAGUUGCAGCCCAUAAAUAAAGAAAAUUUUCCGUAAUAACCUCUUAGUUAUUCAGUACACUUGAAUAUUAAGGUUGCAUGUUGGAUUGUAGCUAAGAAAAACUAAGCUUGGUUGAAGGAAAUAGUUGGAAGUUUCUGCUAUGCUGGCCGAAGGAGGAAAGACAGAAAUGUCCAAGUUUCUUUAUAUAUUUUGGUUCUAAACUCCUACGUUGAGGCUUAGUUCAUUGCAUAAUAUUUUAGUUUUGGCAUGCAUGUUAGAUUUGGGUAUGAAAUGAAGUAGUUAAUGGAGGAAUUUCUUGCUAAAAGAUUGAUUGCUGUCCGAAGCUUUCUAUCAAGGCCGAGAGAGAGAGAGAGAGUUAAACCUCUGAUCAGUUUUUCCUUCAAACUCCACUCUGUAAACUUUCACAUCUGAUAUCUAAAGUUACUGGGUAGUUUAAUACUUGUAUUUGGCAUGAUGAGCUGGAGUUAAAAUUGAAGGAGUUAUGAUAAAAAUGUUGCAUAUUAAACUGCGGCACUGCUGGAAGCUUUAGUUGUCCAAUGUCUUAGCUGAUGUCAGAUUGUUGUGCAUGGCUGUUGGGUUGAAUAAUCUGUUGAAACUAGAUGCUCUUUGUCUUGGUUUAUGCUGGACUGAAUGUACUUUUAAUAGUUAGAGCUUUAAGCAAGUGAAAGAAUAGCGUUUUCGCCGAAAGCUUGAAGUAACGUUACUAGUUUUGGUUGCUGUCCGAGAAAUGAAACAGAUUGUGCUUUUGACCGUCCCAUUUUGGCCUUGAAAACGCAAUAUCUGGAUGUCGAUGUCUUCAUAGGAAAUGUAGGUCUAGGUCUUAGCUUCAAAACACUAUAAAAUUCACCUCAAUCCGAUAAGCGUAACUCCAAUUACGAUCAAAACACCCGAGGAUGGCAAAGCUGCCUUUCCUUUUGUUCCCGAAUGCACUUUGCUAAGAUGCUAACCGUGAGGAACCAACUUUUAACCAACAUUUCCUCUAAUUUUCAACUUUGUAAGCUUUCGUAAAUGAUAGUUACGGUUAGUCUAAGAUUUAAUGGCUUUAUAUAGCUCCACAAGUAGAGUUAAACUAAAGCAAAUGAGAGGAAAACACAUGAUAAUUAAAUUGGCUUCUAAUUACUUAAUACUAUCUUUACAAAUAAUUUAAAGACUAUAAAAUUUGAGGGACUGGUGUACUGGAAUAAAAUUUAAUUUACAAACAACCUAGAGUUUAAUUAAUUAAAAAGGGGACCAAUGGAGUGCUCCUAAGCCAUAAUCUUAGAAUCUUGAGUGGAAAAUGAUUUAAUCCUAGAAUAAAUAUCUUAUAAAUUAUUAACUUGGGAAAACAGGUAUAAUUCUUGAUUAAAAUAAUAAAGUAAAUAAGUUUCAAAAUAAAAGAUAAAUGAAUAUUGAAUAUAUUAUAUUUGUACUUUAAAGUCAAACUUGAUUUUAAUAGUUCAAGUGAUAAAGUAAGAACAAUAAGUGAACAUCUACAAACUAUGUAUUUGAUUUGGAAUUAUUAACUUGUCCAGGAAGUAGCUGUGAACCAGAAAAUCGACUCGAAACUUGAGAGUAAUUUAUUUGGAUAUUUGAUGAGUGUUUUCCGAAUUUAUGUGUUAAACUGCUUAUGUGUACCUAAGUGCAAUUAUAUGGCAAAUGUGCUUAUUAUGAAAUAUUGCUAAGUGAUUCAUUGGAAGUGUAUCUCAAUUGUCCCUCGCCUUCUAAGUCGAGGGUGUACUUUAUCGCACUUGGCUUAGUUGAGUUUGAAGGUUGAUAAUUGAUCAAGUAAUAUUGUAAGUGUGCAUGACUGUAAGCCGUAUGUGUACUUUAUCACGCCGGCUGAACUGGGCCCCAAAACCCUCUGUUCAACGGACUAUUCGAGCCAGCAAAGGGCUUGGUCGGGUAGGACGGUAGCUUUGGGUAAGUGUUUUGGUAUGCUCGAGUAUUAUCACGGAGUAGCAGAUUACUGAUACUGAUGUGGCCAUCCAAGUGGGGGAAGUGUUUAUUAUUUUGGAGGUUAUAAGGAGGAGUUCGGCGGAGUGUGUAGUGCAUUGAAGUGGCUUCUAAUGCGAGCACCGUAUUCUUUUAAAAGUGAUUGUUCAGUGAAGUGUUUCCUCAAUUGCUAAUGAAAGUGAUUGUACAGUGAAAUGUGCACUACUUGUUUAUUUGUAUUGAUUCAUGUGAUUAUUAAAUGUUACUUGCAUGGAAACCUCACGGGCGUAAACUCACCCUUUUAGUUUUGUUUUCCUUACAGGAGUUGGAGAUUGAAAAGUGAUUGGAUGGAAUUAGAAAGUUGCUUUGGGAAAUUCCAUCACUAUGUGUAUAUAUUGGAGUCACGUUUUCUUUCGUAUUUUAAGAUGGUUGAAUCUUUUGUUUUGAGUUGAUGUAAUAUUAAGAAUGGAUAUUUAGAACAUGUAUUUUAUUUCUUUUAGUGGUCAAAUCUAUGUUUCAAGCUGAUUGGAGUGGUACUUAAGAGUGAAUGUUCAGUUGUUCAAUGAUAAUGUUAUCUCUGAAGUUAAUGUAAGUGAGUGAGUCCUGGCGAGAGCCAGGCAGGCGAUCCGCUAACUUCUAGGGUGGGCCCUAAGAGAAGGUGGGUCGUGACACUAACUUUUACAUUUUAAUCCCGCAUGUGGUAAACUAAUCUCAUUAAUUCUACCAUGGCACCUUAUCUUUUAC
This 3054-nucleotide long non-coding RNA is filed under the name Coffea arabica (coffee). Its description in RNAcentral is "long non-coding RNA (CARA_LNC005450)". Lineage: Eukaryota; Viridiplantae; Streptophyta; Magnoliopsida; Gentianales; Rubiaceae. The record is from RNAcentral.